Molecule: ribosomal RNA, 254 nt
Filed under: uncultured bacterium
Lineage: Bacteria
Description: partial 16S ribosomal RNA
Rfam family: Bacterial small subunit ribosomal RNA
Source: RNAcentral
UACGUAGGGGGCGAGCGUUGUCCGGAUUCAUUGGGCGUAAAGCGCGCGUAGGCGGCUCGACAAGUCGGCCGUGAAAUCUCCAGGCUCAACUUGGAGGGGUCGGGCGAGACUGUCGGGCUCGAGGUGGGCAGAGGGCAGUGGAAUUCCGGGUGUAGUGGUGGAAUGCGUAGAGAUCCGGAGGAACACCAGUGGCGAAGGCGGCUGCCUGGGCCUGGCCUGACGCUGAGGCGCGAAAGCGUGGGGAGCGAGUCCGG